RNAcentral lists this long non-coding RNA (1991 nucleotides) under Homo sapiens (human). RNAcentral describes it as "HSALNT0389446". The record is from RNAcentral. Lineage: Eukaryota; Metazoa; Chordata; Mammalia; Primates; Hominidae.
UUGCACAAAGGUGUGGAAAAGAGAGAACUUGGCACAUUCCAGGAAUUGCCAGUAGCUCCAUAUAGAGUGGAAAGAGUGUGAACCAAGAUCUAACUGACUCACUGCCAAAUAACAUGGUUUCUGGGGCACAUGAGUGAGGCCCAGAGAUACCCUCUAGGAGGUAUUCAUCAUCUUCUUUGCACUGUGGCUGUCUUUGGUGAGCACACAGGAUCCUUCUCAGAAUUAUGCCUUUAAAAGCAUAAAAUAAAAUAUAUAGGAUCAAAGUAUCAUCAAAAUACUUUUUAAAUGCAAUCUGUAGUAACAUAUGUGCCUUUUUAUCAAUGUAUUAUAUGACAAGAUCUUGUGGUAGGAAGUAAUUGAUGAGCAAAAAUUAUUUUUCAAAGUAUUAAAACAUCUGUAAUAUAGUAUGAAAACAUCUAUGAUUCCUAUUAGUGACAAAUCCAAGGUGUGGCUAAUUCUGCCAUGGUUUGUUACCUGCUUUCAUAAUGAAAGGAAAUGCUCAAUUUCAGUUAAAGUUUAGUGAAAAGGAAGAUGCAACUUUUUCCCAUCCAAGGUCAUGGACCCUCUGACUUUUCCCACACUCUCCUGCUUUACACAAAGACCCAGCUUUGUGCCUACAGCCCAGUGGUUAAGAGCAUCCAAGCCAGACCUGUUUGCUCAGUUACUGCUGCAGUACUUGGGGCAAGACACUCAGCCUUCCAGUGCCUCUGUUUCUUCAUAACUGUGAAGACCAAAUGAGUUAAUACACACAAAGCAGUUAGAAUAAUGCCUGCCACAUAGUAGGUGCUCACUAAAGAAGGACAAGCUGUUUUCUUUCUUAUUCUCAGCCCCAAAUACAAUGGAGAGAGAAGCCCACAGAUGUGGGGCAUUAUUUACUAACCAGAGUCGUGCUAAUAAGCUCACAAAGCACAAUUAGCAGUCAUUUCAAUUCUGAGGUUUGCUUGACUAUAAAAGCUUCACAUUUCUUCCUCCCUGAUUUCUCUGCUAAUUACAACUGCCGCCGUCCAUCGCAGCUGCCACACAACAUGGGUGCUGACUGCCUCUAACGUAGUUGUUAAGGCGGCAUAAUGGGGCACAAUGACUAAUUGGCCAUCAUGCCCAGGAUGAAUGCGUCAGACAACAGCGGCUGGCCAGUUCCUGGCCUUGGGACCCCGAGCUGCACAGCCCCAGCACUCUCCCAGUGCACCCCUCCUCCACCUUCCCAAGCUGCCUGAUGGGACCAGCCAAUGAAAGGGUGCAGGGACAGCCACCUUGCAGUUAGCUGAGGUCACGUGACAGCUCUGACCAAUGGGCUGUGGGCAGAAGCAACAAGCACCAUUUCCGGGCUGAAGCAUGGAGAAGCAGAGAAGCAUGUGAUCUCCCCGCAGUCUCUUCCGGUCUUGCGACCCAGAAGGCCUUGUGGUGACAUGGUGGAACUGAGCUGAGCUGGAAGCAGCCCAGGUUGCCAAAUUGUCACUUGGAAGACACCCCUGGCAACCUUUGUAGAGCAGCAAAAUUUCACCCAAGGGGAUCUCCCAUUCCUCUUUCCUGGAAGAGACUCCAGGGUAAGCAAAAAAUAGAUCCCAUCUCACCUCUACAGGGUGUGAGAAUCCUACAGAACUCUUGGUGCAUUUUGUAAAACCACAAACUUCUUGAGUUUGGAAAGAAUUCUGGAGUCUUUCAGUCCUAAGUCACAGACCCCAGCAUUGAUUAUGGAGUCUACAGCAGCACAGAAUUCCAGAGUCACAGAAAUCAAAGCUCCAGGACAGUCCUGGAAAGAAACAGGAGAGCGUGGCCACCCAUCUGCCCAGCCACCAAGGCCUAACCCACCAGCGGGGCUAUAUUGGCUUCUUCUUGGGGACGCCCAGUACAGCAGGCCCCCUGGUCCUCCCUCCCCAGGCCUGUGUCUCACGUCCCCACAGUGGGAUUGCAAGCAAGCUGUCCCCAUGCAGCAGAUAAAUAAAUAAAUAAAUAAAGAGCAUGACUUUGUGUUUGAAGGACGAAUGCCAAGU